Molecule: ribosomal RNA, 495 nt
Filed under: uncultured bacterium
Lineage: Bacteria
Description: bacterial SSU rRNA
Rfam family: Bacterial small subunit ribosomal RNA
Source: RNAcentral
GAUGAACGCUAGCGGCAGGCUUAAUACAUGCAAGUCGAGGGGCAGCAGGUCUGUAGCAAUACAGAUGCUGGCGACCGGCAAACGGGUGCGGAACACGUACAGAACCUUCCUUCGAGCGGGGAAUAGCCCAGAGAAAUUUGGAUUAAUACCCCAUAGUAUAUUGAAAAGGCAUCUUUUUAAUAUUAAAGAUUUAUCACUUGAAGAUGGCUGUGCGGCUGAUUAGAUAGUUGGCGGGGUAAUGGCCCACCAAGUCUGCGAUCAGUAACUGGUGUGAGAGCACGACCAGUCACACGGGCACUGAGACACGGGCCCGACUCCUACGGGAGGCAGCAGUAAGGAAUAUUGGUCAAUGGACGAAAGUCUGAACCAGCCAUGCCGCGUGGAGGAUGAAGGUCCUCUGGAUUGUAAACUUCUUUUAUAUGGGACGAAAAAAGGGUUUUCUAACUCGUCUGACGGUACCAUAUGAAUAAGCACCGGCUAACUCCGUGCCAGCAG